Dreissena polymorpha is the source of this 1128-nucleotide long non-coding RNA. RefSeq lists it as uncharacterized. NCBI's taxonomy places the organism in Eukaryota, Metazoa, Mollusca, Bivalvia, Myida, Dreissenidae. The transcript has 3 exons. The record is from RefSeq and is a predicted model, not a curated record.
UGUUUUCGGUGCCAACCUGACCCGAAUUACAUAGCCUGCAGACUCUAUCUUCAAAUGGGGUUCCGUCGUAUCGGCCUGUCUCGACUGGAAACCAGUGGUUAGCAGUCCUGAAUUGGAAUAGGGAAGGUGCUGGUGGAUGCUUGAUGGAAGACUGAUUGAAGCUCAUCAGUUAUGUGCUCUAUGGUCUGCUGCGAUUUGGGGUUGGAUGAGGGUUCUGUCCCCCCACUGGCCUAAUGGCUAUGGUUGCUGUCUGCUGUGGUCCUACUAUGGUUAUUGGACUGUGGAGUGUCCCUAGAGGGCACACGGUUAUCAGUACGCGCAGAAUCCCAGGGGCGUUGGAUGCUGGGCACAGAUGACUGGGUGUUCAGUGGAGUUCUGGGAGAUACUGGAGGAUGAUUACGAGCAUGAGCUUUUGAAGAAUUAGGAGAAGCAGACUGCGAGCGUCUUGAUACGUGUUCGGAAUUGGGAGUUGGAGUAUUGGGAGUGAUGACCACAGUUGUUUUCCUCUGGUUAGCAGAGGUUGUGAUAGGCUCUGGCGGGAUAUUGUUCCUGGCGCUUUGGGGAGGAGGGACACUGUGUGCCUGGUUGGACCGUGGUACUUCGGGGAUCGUGGCAGUUGGAGUAAUGGGAGUGGCGACCGCAGUUGUGUUCCUCCGGUUGCCAGAGGUUGUGAUAGAAGCCGGCGGGAUAUUGUUCCAGGUGCUUUGGCGAGAACGGAAACUGUGUGCCUGACUCGUCCCGAAGACUUCGGGGAUUGUGCGAACUCUGUUACCGUUGAGAAUUGAGUUCCAAUCAGGAUAUAUGUCCUCGACUACCCUUACAUCCAUAACUAUUUUUGCAGGGAAGACUAGUGCAAUUUUGCUGCGUGGAUUACUUUCACGGAGUUUUUUGUAUUUUGGCCAGAGCGUUUUCCGAGCUUGUGAGAUUUCUUUAGGGUAGUCUCGGUUUAUGCUGAAGUUUGACCCUGCUAAGUGUUUUGCAUGAGAGAGAACAUCUACUGUGUCUUGAAAGUUCAGGAAGUUCACAAUGAUACCCCUACUGUUGCUUGGAGAGAAUCUUCCAAGGCGGUGGGCUCGCUGGAUUAUUGGACGGUGCGUUAUCUGGAGCUGUUCGUCAAGAAAUUGACCU